Molecule: long non-coding RNA, 664 nt
Organism: Oncorhynchus tshawytscha (Chinook salmon)
Lineage: Eukaryota; Metazoa; Chordata; Actinopteri; Salmoniformes; Salmonidae
Source: Ensembl
AUCCUCAACAUCCUCACACACACACAUCCUCACACACACACUCAUCCUCACACACACUAACAUCCUCACACACACUAACAUCCUCACACACACACACACACCACACACCACACACCAGCAAAAGCUUGAAACCCUUUCUGUAACACAAAUCCAGCUGUGAACCACUUCACAACCAUGACCCUGCUAGCGCAACACAACCAUCCAGUCCCUCAUGUUUAGUACAUUCCCUGGGUUCUAGAGCUGCCUGGGGAACAGUAGCUUACCGCAUGCAGGGUUGUGUUCCAACCCUACUAUAAAACACCUGAUUCUACUAAUGAUCUGCCCCUCAGGACCCUGGUUGGCUGUAUCAGGUGUGUGAAUCUAGUGCAGGGCUGGAGCAAAAGCCUACAAUACCCAGUAGAUCUCCAGGAGAGUUGGUUCUCUAUUCUAGUGGGUGUCAAAGCUUGAGAGAGAGAACAUACAGGACGCCCUUUAACGAAGAGGGAGGACAUACACAGGAGGCCCUGUAAACCAACCUAGAGGGAGGGAUAGCGUACACAGGAGGUCCUGUUAACCAAGAGGAAGGGAUAUACACAGGAGGUCCUGUUAACCAAGAGGAAGGGAUAUACACAGGAGGUCCUGUUAACCAACCUAGUAGAGAGAGAGAGAGAGCGAGAGAGAGAGA